ACUGCCACCUGAUGUCGUAGGAAGUGAGCGACAUGACCCUCUGAGUCCACUUCAGAGUGCUCUGGGUAUCUACAAAUGGUCCACUGGCUGGCAGAAGAGACAUGAACCAUUUAUACAGGAGAGGUAAGCAGCAUCUGAUGGCUCCACCCUUACCAUGCCUACUGUGGAUGGCAUAGUAAGUAUCAGCAAGGAGGGUAGGGACUGGAUUCCCCCUGAUAAAGAUGCUGAUGGCAGCAUGGUCUAUGAAAUUCGGCAUACUGGGAAAUAGGAUGAUCCCAUAGAUCAUGGCAGCUAGCUGUGCGUGAAAAACUUCCCAAUUCCCCUU
RNAcentral lists this long non-coding RNA (325 nucleotides) under Lathyrus oleraceus (garden pea). RNAcentral's name for it is "Pisum sativum (pea) long non-coding RNA (PSAT_LNC017951)". Lineage: Eukaryota; Viridiplantae; Streptophyta; Magnoliopsida; Fabales; Fabaceae. The record is from RNAcentral.